UGGUCGGUAGAGUCAGACGCCGGUCAGGUGGGCCCGAUGGUGAGUCGGCGUGAGAGGGACCGGUCGAUAUAUCCCAACACUCUCUAUUCUAUGUUCUCUUUUAUUCAAUUGAUCAGAGAUAAAGCAGUGAAGAUUAAGCAGCAGAGAACUGUAGCAUCAAUAAUAGAGGCAGCAAUGAUGAUCCAAUUAACAAGAAGAGAGAGGACAACCAAAACGGUGGCAAGAAAACAACAUUUGGAUCAAGGA
This 246-nucleotide long non-coding RNA is filed under the name Elaeis guineensis (African oil palm). RNAcentral describes it as "long non-coding RNA (EGUI_LNC080732)". The record is from RNAcentral. Lineage: Eukaryota; Viridiplantae; Streptophyta; Magnoliopsida; Arecales; Arecaceae.